CAAGCCGUUCCGAUGUCUGGGUCAAGUCAUCGUGGCCGCUGCACAUCGUCGGCAAACUGGCGGUGGCCGCGUUCGUGCUGGUUAUCGUCAGCCUCAUAUUGCUGGCGCAUUUUUUCGGCGNNNNNNNNNNCUCCCGCGCAUAUCGAGAACGGCAAGCUGAUCCGGGGAUCUGAGAAAUGAACGCCCCUGAUUCGCUGCGUGACGCUCCCUGGCUGAGAUCGGGCGCGACGGCGCGGGUG
This 239-nucleotide unclassified non-coding RNA is filed under the name Hevea brasiliensis (rubber tree). The record is from RNAcentral. Lineage: Eukaryota; Viridiplantae; Streptophyta; Magnoliopsida; Malpighiales; Euphorbiaceae.